This 498-nucleotide ribosomal RNA is filed under the name uncultured Streptococcus sp. RNAcentral describes it as "bacterial SSU rRNA". It matches the Rfam family "Bacterial small subunit ribosomal RNA", at positions 33 to 507 of the family's 1533-position model. The record is from RNAcentral. Lineage: Bacteria; Bacillati; Bacillota; Bacilli; Lactobacillales; Streptococcaceae.
GGACGACGCUGGCGGCGGUGCCUAAUACAUAGCAAGUAGAACGCUGAAGGAGGAGCUUGCUUCUCUGGAUGAGUUGCGAACGGGUGAGUAACGCGUAGGUAACCUGCCUGGUAGCGGGGGAGUAACUAUUGGAAACGAUAGCUAAUACCGCAUAACAGUAGAUGUUGCAUGACAUUUGCUUAAAAGGUGCAAUUGCAUCACUACCAGAUGGACCUGCGUUGUAUUAGCUAGUUGGUGGGGUAACGGCUCACCAAGGCGACGAUACAUAGCCGACCUGAGAGGGUGAUCGGCCACACUGGGGCUGAGACACGGCCCAGACUCCUACGGGAGGCAGCAGUAGGGAAUCUUCGGCAAUGGACGGAAGUCUGACCGAGCAACGCCGCGUGAGUGAAGAAGGUUUUCGGAUCGUAAAGCUCUGUUGUAAGAGAAGAACGAGUGUGAGAGUGGAAAGUUCACACUGUGACGGUAUCUUACCAGAAAGGGACGGCUAACUACGUG